GAACGGCGCAGUCUGGGGGCGGGCGGCGGAGCGAUCGCGUUGCUGAGGCGGAGCCGCCGGCGGGAAGCGCUUCCGGAGGAUCUGCGCUGUGGACUUCGCUUUUUUGUGAAUCAGCCGCUGGCAGCAAGCGCCGUCCCGAGGAUCUGCGCGAUAAAAGUAAAGUUUUAAACCUUUAAUUCGCAUUUUUCUAAUCAGGUUUCCCCUUCCAAUGACUCUCUUUGCAUCUUUAAUUAUUAAUUCCAUCUUUUAAUGAGUUUUCGGAAGUUUUUGGCCAAAUUUGAGGGGUUUUACCUCAGGAUUUGCCCCCCCCCGCCACGUGUUUUUCUCCCCUUUACUUUUACAGAAAAGAAAUAAAAUAAAAAACUAUAAAGUAUUUUUUAACGAGUUUUACGUCCUAAUUGUUGCUUUUAAUAGAUUUUUUUUUUCCUUUUUUUACAAUUUUUUUUUUUUUUAAUUCUUUUUUUCCCUGUCCGCGCGGGGGGAAAUCGCACCACCAAAAUACCCGAUUUUAUCUCUUUAUUUCUUAUUUUUAUUUUUCCUGCCUUCCACUCUUUCCAGGUUUUGCUCUUUAAAUUUCAAAUCUUUAUUUUGUUGGGGUUUUUUUUCCCUUGUUUUUAAUACUUUUAUUUUAUUUUAUUUUUUGGAAUAAAAACUUGUUUCACUGCGGAAUUCACGGCGGGUUUUGUGAGGGGAAGGUUAAAAAUUGUGGGUUUUUUAGAUAGUUGUUUAUUAAAAUAUAUAAAUAUUAUAUCUAUACAUAUCAAUAACAAUAUAUUUAAAUAAAAAGUUGUUUGUUUUUUUAAAUAAAAACGCGGCCGCUUUGGUGUCGAUUGGAACUGCGGGGUGAGGGGAAAGUUAAAAGUUAUUGAUUUAAAUGGUUUUUUAAAAAUAAAAAUAAAAUAAAAACCCGG
This is a non-coding RNA of Lonchura striata (white-rumped munia), 911 nucleotides long. The record is from RefSeq and is a predicted model, not a curated record. NCBI's taxonomy places the organism in Eukaryota, Metazoa, Chordata, Aves, Passeriformes, Estrildidae.